UACGGAGGGUGCAAGCGUUAUCCGGAUUUACUGGGUUUAAAGGGUGCGUAGGUGGGUAGGAAAGUCAGUGGUGAAAUCUUCGGGCUUAACCCGGAAACUGCCAUUGAUACUAUUUAUCUUGAAUACUUUGGAGGUAAGCGGAAUAUGUCAUGUAGCGGUGAAAUGCUUAGAUAUGACAUAGAACACCAAUUGCGAAGGCAGCUGGCUACACAAAUAUUGACACUGAGGCACGAAAGCGUGGGGAUCAAACAGG
This 253-nucleotide ribosomal RNA is filed under the name uncultured bacterium. Its description in RNAcentral is "partial 16S ribosomal RNA". It matches the Rfam family "Bacterial small subunit ribosomal RNA", at positions 524 to 776 of the family's 1533-position model. The record is from RNAcentral.